This 501-nucleotide unclassified non-coding RNA is filed under the name uncultured Diversispora. Its description in RNAcentral is "SSU rRNA". It matches the Rfam family "Eukaryotic small subunit ribosomal RNA", at positions 591 to 1091 of the family's 1831-position model. Lineage: Eukaryota; Fungi; Glomeromycota; Glomeromycetes; Diversisporales; Diversisporaceae. The record is from RNAcentral.
CCAAUAGCGUAUAUUAAAGUUGUUGCAGUUAAAAAGCUCGUAGUUGAACUUCGGGGUUUACCCAUUGGUCAGGCUUAAUUGUCUGUACUGGUGAGAUAAAUCUCUACCUUCUGAGGAACUUUCAUGUCAUUAAUUUGGUGUGAUUGGAAAUCAGGACUGUUACUUUGAAAAAAUUAGAGUGUUUAAAGCAGGCUAACGUCUGAAUACAUUAGCAUGGAAUAAUGAAAUAGGACGGACUGAUUCUAUUUCGUUGGUUUCUAGGAUCACCGUAAUGAUUAAUAGGGAUAGUUGGGGGCAUUAGUAUUCAAUUGUCAGAGGUGAAAUUCUUGGAUUUAUUGAAGACUAACUACUGCGAAAGCAUUUGCCAAGGAUGUUUUCAUUAAUCAAGAACGAAAGUUAGGGGAUCGAAGACGAUCAGAUACCGUCGUAGUCUUAACCAUAAACUAUGCCGACUAGGGAUCGGACGAAGUUAAUUUUAUAAUGACGCGUUCGGCACCUUAC